Acipenser ruthenus (sterlet) is the source of this 1736-nucleotide long non-coding RNA. RefSeq lists it as uncharacterized. The record is from RefSeq and is a predicted model, not a curated record. The transcript is spliced from 2 exons. NCBI's taxonomy places the organism in Eukaryota, Metazoa, Chordata, Actinopteri, Acipenseriformes, Acipenseridae.
CAAAAAACUACAUCUCCCAGAUAACAUCACGAGGGGAGAGGGGUGUUUUCACCGCGCAUGCCAAACACAGCCCACUAUUCCGUUAUUCGCUGUGAUUUCAUGAUGGCUGAAGCGCCUGCGACCUCUAACGGCGUAGUAAGAGACUCAGCAGAACUAGUUUCAGAUAAAAAGGGAUGGUUAUCAAAGCGAACACAGUUUACCUAUCGCUGGAAGCCUGCCUGGUUCGUGAUAAAAGAAACACAGCUUUUGUAUGGGGAGAAUGAAAAGGCAGUACAAAAGAAAAUCAGCCUUUUAGGUGCCCAUGUUAAAGAAGUCGAUGGCAAUGAGAUGACAUUCACUUGGACAAUUACUCCAAAGGGGGGCAAGAGGACAUUCUUCCUGAAAGCAAACAGUGAAUCUGAGCAGCGUGAAUGGAUACAGGCCAUCUGUGACGCUUUGGUGAAGUCUUCAACGGGACACGCCUCCACAACUUGCACUGUACAGUAGCAAUGAUCACCAGCACUAAAUGUUCAAUUGAGAGCCACCUACAAGGCUCUAAAAGUAUGGCUGGUGCUUUACCCCACGCAGACUGCUUGGCAACUAUAUACCUUUGAAUAGAGAACUGUCCGGUAUUUAUAUAUAUAUAUAUACAUAUAUAUAUAUAUAUAUAUAUAUAUAAAUAUUUUAAUGAACAAGUUGUCCCGUCUCACCACAGCAAGCAGUACACCCAAAAUGUUACCCGUUUUGAAUGAUCAACGGCAGAAUCUAUAUUAAUUGUCCCUUAACCCCUCUUGGCCGUUACCAUUGCAGAAACAAGUAUCUCCUCUCUGAAAUUCACAAUUGGUAGGUAGUGCAUUGAUAACAUGUGAGGUGUUGCUGCCCAUGUGGGGUGUAAUACUAAUUCAAAUCUUUCACUUUAGGUGAAUAUUUUCUAUUUAGGGUUACAAAGAUAUUUAGUAAGCAUGUGGGCUGAGAGGGAUAAAAUGGGCAACACAUGUCCAAGUACCACAAACAAUCAGGGGUGUUCCAAUGCUUUUUGAAGCCACUGUGGGGUCGUUUUAGUUGUUGUGUGAAGAAACUUCAAAGCCAGUAGUAUAUUAUUCUAUAUGCAGCACACAGUAACAGUUGAUUAGAAAACACUCUAGGACUCCACAGAAAUAUUAUAUUGGUGUAUUCCUUAGAUCAUUUAAAAAUCUUACCAAGAUAGCAUCACAGGCUUUUCCUUUGUACCAUGAACAAAGCAAAAACAAAUUGAAUUUCUGUCAGGGUUUACAUACACAAGGUGUGCCAGCCACACUUAGAGCAAUUUCUGUUGAUGUUUGCCACCCACUGCAGAUGGUAAUUUUGUCUUUGUCUUGAAUCUAUUUUGUAUAGAAACAAGUUAGUUGCUGCUGCUGUAACUGAUUAAAUGUUCCACUCUCCUAGAUAAAUAUUUUAAAUAGACAAACACACAUUUUCAUAGUGUACUCUAAACAGCUUGGGUUCCAGUAGAACACCACAGCUGUUUAGAGUAUAUUUGAAAUAUUCAUACAGUAUCAUGCCAUGCUUAUAAAAAAAAAAAAAAAAAAACUGUAGCUACACUUUAUGUAAACCGCAAAGCCAAAUAAACCAAAUAGCAACUGCACACAUAUAAACAAAUACAAUUUGAAAUGAUCAUCUGAACCUAGACUUUAAAGAUAACCAAUGUUAAGACAUUUAUAAUGUAGUAAGAAUGGAAAUGAACAUUUUGCAAUAAAAAUGAUUGUUUGAAAGGCUAA